This 468-nucleotide ribosomal RNA is filed under the name uncultured bacterium. RNAcentral describes it as "partial 16S ribosomal RNA". It matches the Rfam family "Bacterial small subunit ribosomal RNA", at positions 28 to 507 of the family's 1533-position model. The record is from RNAcentral.
GACGAACGCUGGCGGCGUGCUUAACACAUGCAAGUCGAACGGAAAGGCCCUGCUUUUGUGGGGUGCUCGAGUGGCGAACGGGUGAGUAACACGUGAGUAACCUGCCCUUGACUUUGGGAUAACUUCAGGAAACUGGGGCUAAUACCGGAUAGGAGCUCCUGCUGCAUGGUGGGGGUUGGAAAGUUUCGGCGGUUGGGGAUGGACUCGCGGCUUAUCAGCGUGUUGGUGGGGUAGUGGCUUACCAAGGCUUUGACGGGUAGCCGGCCUGAGAGGGUGACCGGCCACAUUGGGACUGAGAUACGGCUCAGACUCCUACGGGAGGCAGCAGUGGGGAAUAUUGCACAAUGGGCGGAAGCCUGAUGCAGCAACGCCGCGUGCGGGAUGACGGCCUUCGGGUUGUAAACCGCUUUCGCCUGUGGCGAAGCGUGAGUGACGGUAAUGGGUAAAGAAGCACCGGCUAACUACGUG